UUGAACGCUGGCGGCAUGCCUUACACAUGCAAGUCGAACGGUAGAGGGGCAACCCUUGAGAGUGGCGAACGGGUGAGUAAUAUAUCGGAACGUGCCCAGUCGUGGGGGAUAACGCAGCGAAAGCUGCGCUAAUACCGCAUACGAUCUAUGGAUGAAAGCGGGGGAUCGCAAGACCUCGCGCGAUUGGAACGGCCGAUAUCAGAUUAGGUAGUUGGUGGGGUAAAAGCCCCACCAAGCCGACGAUCUGUAGCUG
This 253-nucleotide ribosomal RNA is filed under the name uncultured bacterium. RNAcentral's name for it is "partial 16S ribosomal RNA". It matches the Rfam family "Bacterial small subunit ribosomal RNA", at positions 30 to 289 of the family's 1533-position model. The record is from RNAcentral.